RNAcentral lists this ribosomal RNA (252 nucleotides) under uncultured bacterium. Its description in RNAcentral is "partial 16S ribosomal RNA". It matches the Rfam family "Bacterial small subunit ribosomal RNA", at positions 524 to 775 of the family's 1533-position model. The record is from RNAcentral.
UACGGAGGGUGCGAGCGUUGUCCGGAAUCAUUGGGCGUAAAGGGCGCGUAGGUGGCGGGACAAGCGUGCGGUGAAAGCUCGGGGCUCAACCCCGAGUCGGCCGUGCGAACUGUUUUGCUGGAGCACUGUAGAGGCAGGCGGAAUUCCGGGUGUAGCGGUGGAAUGCGUAGAGAUCCGGAAGAACACCGGUGGCGAAGGCGGCCUGCUGGGCAGUAGCUGACACUGAGGCGCGACAGCGUGGGGAGCAACAGG